UACAGAGGGUGCGAGCGUUAAUCGGAAUUACUGGGCGUAAAGCGUGCGUAGACGGCUAUCUAAGUCGGGUGUGAAAGCCCCGGGCUCAACCUGGGAAUUGCAUUCGAGACUGAAUAGCUAGGGUGCGGUAGAGGGAAGCGGAAUUUCCGGUGUAGCGGUGAAAUGCGUAGAUAUCUGGAGGAACACCGGUGGCGAAGGCGGCGUUCUGGACUGCACCUGACGCUGAGCCGCGAAAGCCAGGGGAGCGAACGGG
RNAcentral lists this ribosomal RNA (253 nucleotides) under uncultured bacterium. RNAcentral's name for it is "partial 16S ribosomal RNA". It matches the Rfam family "Bacterial small subunit ribosomal RNA", at positions 524 to 776 of the family's 1533-position model. The record is from RNAcentral.